This 430-nucleotide ribosomal RNA is filed under the name uncultured bacterium. RNAcentral's name for it is "partial 16S ribosomal RNA". It matches the Rfam family "Bacterial small subunit ribosomal RNA", at positions 354 to 796 of the family's 1533-position model. The record is from RNAcentral.
GUGGGGAAUAUUGCACAAUGGGCGCAAGCCUGAUGCAGCAACGCCGCGUGAGGGAUGACGGCCUUCGGGUUGUAAACCUCUUUUAGUAGGGAAGAAGCGAAAGUGACGGUACCUGCAGAAAAAGCACCGGCUAACUACGUGCCAGCAGCCGCGGUAAUACGUAGGGUGCAAGCGUUGUCCGGAAUUAUUGGGCGUAAAGAGCUCGUAGGCGGCUUGUCGCGUCUGCUGUGAAAUCCCGGGGCUCAACCCGGGGCCUGCAGUGGGUACGGGCAGGGUAGAGUGCGGUAGGGGAGAUUGGAAUUCCUGGUGUAGCGGUGGAAUGCGCAGAUAUCAGGAGGAACACCGAUGGCGAAGGCAGAUCUCUGGGCCGCUACUGACGCUGAGGAGCGAAAGCAUGGGGAGCGAACAGGAUUAGAAACCCGGGUAGUCC